UACGUAGGAGGCGAGCGUUGUCCGGAAUUACUGGGCGUAAAGCGCGCGUAGGCGGCGCUGUACGACCGAUGUGAAAGCCCCCGGCUCAACUGGGGAACGUCAUUGGUAACGGCAGUGCUUUGAGUACAGGAGAGGGAAGUGGAACUCCGGGAGUAGCGGUGAAAUGCGUAGAGACCCGGAGGAACACCAGUGGCGAAGGCGGCUUCCUGGCCUGGAACUGACGCUGUGGCGCGAAAGCUAGGGGAGCAAACGGG
RNAcentral lists this ribosomal RNA (254 nucleotides) under uncultured bacterium. RNAcentral's name for it is "partial 16S ribosomal RNA". It matches the Rfam family "Bacterial small subunit ribosomal RNA", at positions 524 to 776 of the family's 1533-position model. The record is from RNAcentral.